UACAGAGGGGGCUAGCGUUGUUCGGAAUUACUGGGCGUAAAGGGCGCGUAGGCGGUCGAUUAAGUUAGAAGUGGAAGCCCAGGGCUUAACCCUGGAAUUGCUUUUAAUACUGAUAGACUAGAGACCGGUAGGGGGUAGUGGAAUUCUUAGUGUAGGAGUGAAAUCCGUAGAUAUUAAGAGGAACACCAGUGGCGAAGGCGGCUAUCUGGACCGGUUCUGACGCUGAGGCGCGAAAGUGUGGGGAGCAAACAGG
Molecule: ribosomal RNA, 253 nt
Filed under: uncultured bacterium
Lineage: Bacteria
Description: partial 16S ribosomal RNA
Rfam family: Bacterial small subunit ribosomal RNA
Source: RNAcentral